UCUGUGGGUUCUUCGAGAAGGAGAGUAACCUCCUUCGGCCCAUGGACAAACCCUUCCCAUUGGAGACGGACACCAGCCCCCGCGAGGAGGCCAAGGGGGCCCGAGGCCGAACUCCCCGACUGCUGCAGGUUCUGGCCAAGUCUACUGGCACGGCAACCUCCUCCGUUUCCGGACCCCAGCUGGGGGCUGCUGGGGUGGGGUGAAUGACCUCCGCCCUAGAAGCCUAACCUGUGUCCCACCCCCACCCCCUACUCUCAGGGUCGGGGUGAGGAAAAUGAGAUCCAGAGAGGUGAUGUGACUUAGCUGCUCAAGCUGCUCAGAGCAUGGAGAAAAAUGGCAA
This is a long non-coding RNA of Gracilinanus agilis (Agile Gracile Mouse Opossum), 340 nucleotides long. RefSeq lists it as uncharacterized. Lineage: Eukaryota; Metazoa; Chordata; Mammalia; Didelphimorphia; Didelphidae. The transcript is spliced from 3 exons. The record is from RefSeq and is a predicted model, not a curated record.